Molecule: ribosomal RNA, 500 nt
Filed under: uncultured Glomeromycotina
Lineage: Eukaryota; Fungi; Glomeromycota
Description: partial small subunit ribosomal RNA
Rfam family: Eukaryotic small subunit ribosomal RNA
Source: RNAcentral
CCAAUAGCGUAUAUUAAAGUUGUUGCAGUUAAAAAGCUCGUAGUUGAAUUUCGGGGUCAGUAGAUUGGUCAUGCCUCCGGUAUGCACUGGUCUUACUGGCUCCUCCUUCCUGAUGAACCGUAAUGCCAUUAAUUUGAUGUUGCGGGGAGACUGGACUGUUACUUUGAAAAAAUUAGAGUGUUUAAGGCAGGCUAACGCUUGAAUACAUUAGCAUGGAAUAAUGAAAUAGGACGUUCGAUCUUAUUUUGUUGGUUUCUAAGAUUGACGUAAUGAUUAAUAGGGAUAGUUGGGGGCAUUAGUAUUCAAUUGUCAGAGGUGAAAUUCUUGGGUUUAUUGAAGACUAACUACUGCGAAAGCAUUUGCCAAGGAUGUUUUCAUUAAUCAAGAACGAAAGUUAGGGGAUCGAAGACGAUCAGAUACCGUCGUAGUCUUAACCAUAAACUAUGCCGACUAGGGAUCGGAUGAUGUUAAUUUUUUAAUGACUCAUUCGGCGCCUUACG